UUGACCGCCAAUGUCCUCGAAACCAGCCACCGGCAAGCGCGAGCAGGUGCGUGGCGAAACACACUUCGAGGUGUCACGCUUCGAGGCGAGCAAGUACGUUGGUGGCAAGCUACAGUUUUUAGUAAAAUUCAAGGGAUUUCCUAAAGCGGAAUGGCUGCCUGCAGGAGGACCUGAGCGCCGACGCCUAUCGCGCGCUGCACAAGGCGAUGAAAGCAACGUGAUGCAUCCCUGUUUAUAUAUCUCGCAAAGUAUAUCAAAUUCUGUCGUUAUUUUCUACGCUGUCGCAGUCUGGUGCGACUGGGGAGUUUUGCCGGAAUUUCGCCCGAGUUUCGGCUGAGUUUCUGAGUUUCUCGCGAGUUUCUGUCGAGUUUUUGCCGAGUUGUAACGGAAUGCUACCGCCAAUUUCCGCCGAGUUCCCCUGCGCCCCGCCCGCGCGUGCACACCAGCGACUCUCAUGCACUCCAGCGAGUCCCGCCCGCGCUGCUGCCC
This 489-nucleotide long non-coding RNA is filed under the name Chlamydomonas reinhardtii. Its description in RNAcentral is "long non-coding RNA (CREI_LNC000966)". Lineage: Eukaryota; Viridiplantae; Chlorophyta; Chlorophyceae; Chlamydomonadales; Chlamydomonadaceae. The record is from RNAcentral.